AUGGAGCAAUUGGAGAAGAGGAUGGAUGCUGCUGAACAACAAAUCAAAGAGCUGCGUGAAGAUCUUAAUAGGAGAUUUGACCAGCUGGUUGAGAUGAUAAGAAAGGGUGUCCCCCCUGCUACCAAUGAAGGAGAUUCAUCUAAAGAAGAGGAAGAUGUUCAUCAAGGAAGGAGAGGUAAUCUUGGAGCAAGACCGCCACGACAACAUGUUGUUCAACGUGCUUCAAGAAGGCCAAUUUAUGUUGAGGCUUCUGAAGGUGAAGAAUAUGAUGAUGCCCUUGAAGAGCCAAAUCUCUACGCAUAUCGGAGAGCACCCAACCCUACGUAUGCAAGAGAUACAUACAAGGUGAAAGCUGAGAUCCCAAGUUUUAAUGGAAAUGUUGACAUUGAAGGGUGCCUGGAUUGGUUAUAUGAAGUGGAGACUUUCUUUGAGGUCAUGGAGGUUCCGGAAGAUCGUAGAGUUCCUUUGGUCGCAUACAAACUGAAAGGAGGAGCCGGUGCAUGGUGGCAUCGCGUUCAAGAGGAGCGCAGACUCAGAGGAGAACCUCGUGUUAGAACUUGGCGACAAAUGAAAGGCCUCUUGAAAGGGAGAUUUUUGCCCGCUGAUUAUGACCAGAUCCUAUUUAUCCAAUUUCAAAAUUGUGCUCAAGGAAAUAGGACUGUUUCAGAUUACAUGGAGGAGUUUCUAAGGCUACAAGUGAGGUGCAACCUUGCUGAAACUGAAGAGCAACAAGUUGCAAGGUACAUCAAUGGUCUCAAUGAUGCUAUUCAAGAUCGAUUGAUGAUGCAACAAAUCUGGUCCGUUGAUCAAGCACAAGCUCUAGCCUUAAAGGCCGAGAGGUUUGUGAGGAUGAGAAAGACAACUAAGGCUCCAUAUCCUCCAUAUCCUCAUACCGAAGGCUCAUCUAGGAGCCAACCUAAUAGAGUGGAAGAAAAGACCACUCCACCAAAGACAAAACAGCCCAUCCCGAAGCAAACUAGAGGCAAGGGUAAGGCAAAUGAAGGCCCAAAGUGCUAUAAAUGUGGUAAAGAGGGACACAUAUCCAGCGGCUGCCCACUAAGGAAAUUUGUUAACACGACUAUCCAUGAUGGUGAAAGCGAUGAGGAAGAAUACGAAUCUGAAGAUGUAGACGGACAAGAGGUUUGUCAAGAAGAAGGUGAAGAGGUGGUAUGUGUGAUCCAGCGUGUCCUAUGUUCCACACCACAACUCGAUGACACACAACGGAAGAAAAUAUUUGAGAGCAAAUGCACGGUGAAUGACAAGGUAUGCAAACUAGUGAUUGAUAGUUGCAGCUGCGAGAAUCUUAUCUCCCAGAAGUUGGUGGACCAUUUAAAGCUUGAAACCCAUGAUCAUCCAAAUCCCUACACUAUUGGAUGGAUCAAGAAAGGAGUGAAUAUGAGGAUCACCAAACAAUGCAACCUGCCACUUUCUUUGGGUAAGCAUUAUCGCUUAAAUGUGUUGUGUGAUGUGGUUGACAUGGAUGCCAGCCAUGUUCUUCUUGGGAGGCCUUGGCAAUUUGAUGUGGAUACUACACACAAGGGCAAGGAAAAUUCUUACUCUUUCAUUUGGAACAAGAGAAGGAUCAUUAUCUUACCAAACAAACCCGAAGGUAAUACCUCUAAGGAGGAGGGGAAAACUAUGUUAACUAUCUCCCAUACCUCUCAUGAGUUUAUGGAAGACUUGAAGGAGGCACAUUUGUGUGAUGCACUUGUUGUAAAGGGAGAAGAGCACCUGACUGUUGAAAUUCCAGCAAAGGUACGUGGUUUAUUGGCAGAAUUUCAGAACAUACUUGGGGAGCCACAUGGCUUGCCACCGAUGAGAGGAAUUCAACAUAGAAUUGACUUAAUUCCGGGAGCAAGUCUUCCUAAUCUUCCACAAUAUCGAAUGAGCCCAAAGGAGCAUGGUAUAUUGAAGGAGAAAGUGGAGGAAUUGUUGCAAAAGGGGCACAUUCGAGAAAGUAUUAGCCCAUGUGCUGUACCAGCCCUACUCGCGCCAAAGAAAGAUGGAUCUUGGCGCAUGUGUACGGACAGUAGAGCCGUUAACAAGAUCACCGUAAGGUAUAGAUUCCCUAUUCCUCGUCUGGAUGAUAUGUUGGAUCAGCUUAGUGGAGCAAGAGUGUUCACAAAGCUAGAUUUAAGAAGUGGAUAUCAUCAAAUCCGUAUAAGACCCGGGGAUGAAUGGAAGACCGCCUUCAAGACAAAGGAAGGGUUGUUUGAAUGGCUAGUCAUGCCAUUUGGACUCUCAAAUGCACCAAGUACCUUUAUGCACUUAAUGAAUCAAGUCCUUAGACCCUUCUUAUCCCACUUUGUUGUGGUCUAUUUCGAUGACAUCUUGAUCUAUAACAAGGAUGAGGAUGAACACUUUGAUCACAUUCGGAAGGUGCUAGAAGUACUAAGGGAAAAUGAGCUCUACGUCAACUUGAAGAAAUGUGUUUUCCUGCAAACACAACUUCUUUUCCUAGGAUUCGUCAUAACAUGUGACGGCAUUCGUGUUGAUGAUUCUAAGGUUGAAGCAAUCCGAGAAUGGCCAACUCCUAAGACCAUUUCUGAGGUAAGAAGCUUUCAUGGCCUUGCAACUUUCUAUAGGCGAUUUGUUAAGAAUUUCAGCACUAUCAUGGCACCAAUUACCGAGUGUUUGAAGAAAGGAAAGUUCCAAUGGGCAGAAGCAGCUGAAGCUAGCUUCAAUGAGAUUAAACAAAAGCUAUCACAAGCUCCUGUCUUGGUACUACCUGAUUUCAACAAGACUUUUGAGUUGGAGUGUGAUGCAAGUGAGUAG
Molecule: ribosomal RNA, 2775 nt
Filed under: Triticum aestivum (bread wheat)
Lineage: Eukaryota; Viridiplantae; Streptophyta; Magnoliopsida; Poales; Poaceae
Description: partial small subunit ribosomal RNA
Source: RNAcentral